RNAcentral lists this ribosomal RNA (274 nucleotides) under uncultured bacterium. RNAcentral describes it as "partial 16S ribosomal RNA". It matches the Rfam family "Bacterial small subunit ribosomal RNA", at positions 523 to 796 of the family's 1533-position model. The record is from RNAcentral.
AUACGGAGGGUGCAAGCGUUACUCGGAAUCACUGGGCGUAAAGCGCGCGCAGGCGGCUAUUUAAGUUGGAUGGGAAAGCCUACGGCUCAACCGUAGAACUGCAUCCAAAACUAUUUAGCUAGAGUGUGGGAGAGGAAGAUGGAAUUAGUUGUGUAGGGGUAAAAUCCGUAGAGAUAACUAGGAAUACCAAAAGCGAAGGCAAUCUUCUGGAACACUACUGACGCUGAGGCGCGAAAGCGUGGGGAGCAGACAGGAUUAGAAACCCUAGUAGUCC